AUUGAACGCUGGCGGCAGGCUUAACACAUGCAAGUCGAGCGGGGGAAGGUAGCUUGCUACCGGACCCAGCGGCGGACGGGUGAGUAAUGCUUAGGAAUCUGCCUAUUAGUGGGGGACAACAUCUCGAAAGGGAUGCUAAUACCGCAUACGUCCUACGGGAGAAAGCAGGGGAUCUUCGGACCUUGCGCUAAUAGAUGAGCCUAAGUCGGAUUAGCUAGUUGGUGGGGUAAAGGCCUACCAAGGCGACGAUCUGUAGCGGGUCUGAGAGGAUGAUCCGCCACACUGGGACUGAGACACGGCCCAGACUGCUACGGGAGGCGGCAGUGGGGAAUAUUGGACAAUGGGGGGAACCCUGAUCCAGCCAUGCCGCGUGUGUGAAGAAGGCCUUAUGGUUGUAAAGCACUUUAAGCGAGGAGGAGGCUACUCUAGUUAAUACCUAGGGAUAGUGGACGUUACUCGCAGAAUAAGCACCGGCUAACUCUGUGCCAGCCGCCGCAGUAA
This 501-nucleotide ribosomal RNA is filed under the name uncultured bacterium. Its description in RNAcentral is "partial 16S ribosomal RNA". It matches the Rfam family "Bacterial small subunit ribosomal RNA", at positions 30 to 523 of the family's 1533-position model. The record is from RNAcentral.